Abrus precatorius (Indian licorice) is the source of this 3767-nucleotide RNA transcript. It is a transcript of the gene named putative AC transposase, with no coding region annotated. NCBI's taxonomy places the organism in Eukaryota, Viridiplantae, Streptophyta, Magnoliopsida, Fabales, Fabaceae. The transcript has 4 exons. The record is from RefSeq and is a predicted model, not a curated record.
UUUGAGCGAAGCGAAGCGAAGCCGUGUUAGCAGCGAAUAAAGCACCACAGAUCUCAUCUACGCCGCUCUCUCUUCCUUCUCUCUCGGCUCAGAUCUGCUUCACGCCGAUCUUCCUCAGCUUCAUUCACUUUCUCUCUCUUCGCAAUUCCAAUUCUCCGCCAAAAUUGAAUUUCGAGUAUUCGUUUUUCUCAUGAACCCUUCCUCUCCGGUACGUUCGAUUAAUUUCCCUGUUUCACUUCACCUUCAACUGAAACACAAACACUUUGAAUUUCAAAUGCUUGUUCUGUGUUUAUCACUGAUCAGAUAGGUGAGUGUUGGUGCUAAUUUCAUGGACUGGACUGUUAACAAUCACUACAGAACUUACAAAGGUAUAUAGUUAUAAUAACCACCUUGGUUCUGAUAUUUCAAGUUUUUGCGAUAUGUUAUUGAUGUUGAAUUCAUGAAAUUAAUUGACUGGUGUAUUUGGGUUUUAGCAUUCUCUAUUGGUGGAAUAGUGUGUGAACUAAAGUUCCAACGUUAAUUCAACAUAAGUCAAGGAAAUAGUAAUCGACUUGGUUUUCAGCAUUCUAUUUGUUACAUAAAAUUGGCUUUUUAUUAUUUUGGUAGACGACCAAAAAUCCAUGAUGGAUGUGGCACUCAUUUCGAACAUGGAUGCUGUGAAUAUUGGGUUGGGUUGUUCAGACAAGCCAGCUUCUGUCACUUCAUUGAAGCCGAGAAAGAAAACGAUGACAUCAGUGUAUUUGAAGUUCUUCGAGACAGCUGCAGAUGGCAAGACUCGGAGAUGCAAGUUUUGUGGACAGAGUUAUUCCAUUGCAACCGCCACAGGCAAUUUGGGAAGGCAUCUUGCUAAUCGCCAUCCAGGUUAUGACAAGUCAGUGGAUGCAAUCAGCAAUUCAGUGGCGCGGGCCACUGCUGUGGUGAAGAAGUCUCAGCCUCAAGGAAAAACAAACCAGGUGGAUUAUGAUCACCUAAAUUGGUUGCUGAUAAGGUGGCUUGUUUUGGCUUCUCUUCCUCCUUCAACUCUGGAAGAGAGGUGGCUUGUGAAUUCCUACAAGUUUCUAAAUCCUUCGAUACAACUCUGGCCAAGUGAGAAGUAUAGAACUGUACUUGAUGAAGUUUUCAAAAGCAUGCGGGAAGAUGUAAGAGCAUUGCUAGAACAGGUUUCUUCCAAGUUCUCUAUCACACUUGAUUUCUGGAAUUCUUUUGAACAGAUCUUCUAUAUGAGCGUAACAUGUCAGUGGAUUGACGAAAACUGGUGCUUCCAGAAGUUGCUUCUUGAUAUCUGUCGCAUACCAUAUCCAUGUGGGGGUGCAGAGAUCUAUCGUACCCUUGUAAAAGUACUUAAAUUUUACAAUAUUGAAAACAGAGUCCUGUCUUGUACCCAUGAUAAUAGUACAAGUGCCAUGCAUGCCUGCCAUACUUUGAAAGAGGACUUGGAUGGUCAGAAAAUAGGGCCAUUCUGUUAUAUUCCCUGUGCUGCUCGAACUUUGAAUGUGAUAAUAGAUGAUGGAUUGAGAUCGGCAAAACAAGUAAUUUCUAAGAUACGGGAGUUUGUAAUAGAGUUAAAUGCCUCACCAGUGAUCUCUGAGGAUUUUAUUCAACUAUCUACAGUUUAUCAAGAAGGUACAUGGAAAUUUCCACUUGAUGUUUCAGCAAGGUGGAAUGGAAACUACCAGAUGCUGGAUCUUGUUCGCAAGGCAGGUAAAUCAAUGGAUGCUGUUAUUCGUAAAUACGAGGAAAUGCUAGGCAACAGGAUGCUGCUGGGCUCUUCCGACAAAAGUGUGGUGAACAUCAUUCAUCUAUAUCUUGAACCAUUCUACAAGACCACAAACAACAUCUGCACAAAUAAAGUGCCAACCGUUGGGCUUGUCCUUUUCUUCAUGGAUCAUAUCUCAGAAACAAUUGCUAACUGUAGAGAAUCACGUCACAGCCCAGAAUGGCUAAAAACUGCUGCAGAAGAAAUGGCUAAAAAAGCCAGGAAUUAUAUUAAUCAGGUUUGCAACAUAUUUACGUAUAUGACAGCAAUUCUAGAUCCUCGCAUAAAGGGAGAUCUGAUCCCUGAUAGUUUAAACUCGGAAAACUUUUUGGACGAAGCAAGAACCCAUUUUAUGAGAAAUUAUUCUACAAGCCAUUUCUCAUCUCUGAGUUCUGGUUACAAUGCUCAAGAAAUUGAAGAUGGCGGAAGUGUUUCCUUUGCUGAAGAAAUAGCACGGAAGAAACGAAGGACGAGCAUGAGCUCUGCCACUGAUGAGCUUACACAGUACCUAUCAGAGGCUCCAGCUCCAAUACCAACAGAUGUUCUAGAGUGGUGGAAGGUCAACAGUACACGCUACCCUCGACUAUCUGUGAUGGCUAGGGAUUUCCUGGCUGUGCAGGCAACUUCAGUUGUGCCUGAAGAACUUUUCUGUGGCAAGGGUGAUGAAAUUGACAAACAACGAUUCUGUAUGCCACAUGAUAGCACUCAAGCUAUUCUUUGUAUCAAGUCUUGGAUUCAGGUUGGCCUCAAGUUUAAGUUUAAGUCAACUGAAAUAGAUUAUGAGAGGUUGAUGGAACUGGCAGCAGCUGCUGCUGCAACAGAUUUUAGCCCUCCAAGUUCUGACAAGAAACAAAAAUAAUGAUAGAAGAUGGCAGCACUGUAAGGGUGACAGAUUCCUUGAUUAACAAACAACCCUACUGUCACUUUCAAAUUAUAUCUUGACUUGACUUUGGCUCGUUUCCCCUUAUCUUCAACUAAGAAGAGAUUAACUGGGUGUUUUGUUCUUUGAGAACUCAUCGUUGUAUCAUAUCAGUAUAAUGUAUUAUGUUGUACAGUUCUGAAUUGUGGAAUUUAAUAACCCAGAAAAAAAAUCAAAUAAGCUCCCUAACGAUGGAAGUCUCCCCUCCUUUGUACCUCCAUGAUUUGUGUCCACACCAAAGAGCGUAUGGUCGACACCCCAGAAACUGAGGCUACAUUAUAAACGUACAAAGAAGGCUACGGAUUUAAGAGUAGUGCCCCUUUAAUUAAUUCUUUUUACAAUGCUGACAACUUUCUGGACUAAAAAGUGUAUAAAUAAUUAUAUUCAAAACUAUUGGAGGGUUGUUAACGCCACCUUCAGAGUUCUUUAUCUACAUCAACAAGUACUCUCCGAUAUUCACGUACUAUUACAGGCACGCUUGUAGGAGGGAGCUGUAACAACAGCAAGAAAGAGUAAAUACAUGAUUGUGAAACUGGUAAUUAUGUUACAACGAAGAGAGAGUUUAAUAUUAAGAAAAUUCUUAAAAGGAAAAUUUUGAAUAAAUUGAGAAUUAUAAAAAUAAAAAAUAAAAACAUAUAAGUAAAUACUACAUAAUGGUGAAGCCGCAAUUUCAAAAUACAAAGAAAAUAUAAUACAUGUUUUCACAUUUGAGAAUGAAAACAUGUAUUUAUAUUAUAGGGAUUAAUUUGAGUGGUAAGGUGCACAAAAUCAAUGAAUAGAUUAUAUUCGAGAAUAAUGCAUGAGCGCAAUGAAACAAAAUUAUAUCCAGUGGCAACGGCGAGGUUUGGGUUUUCCGAGCAAUUGCAGCCCUCAGGUGCCACGUGGCGUUCGCCGGAAGGAUGACGUGGCGACAGAAUGAUAUGUGUGUAUUUCAGUUAACUAAAGAUUUGGGGUUUGCGAUCAAUUAGGGUUUGGGUUCACUGGGGAUUGUGAGGAUUUUCAGUUUCAAUUGUUGCGUUGUAAGCACGUUCCUGGACGUUAAGGGGCGGGAACAGAGGUUUUAUUAUCUCAUAUGUUUAUAUAUUUUUUUUC